Molecule: ribosomal RNA, 407 nt
Filed under: Clostridioides difficile
Lineage: Bacteria; Bacillati; Bacillota; Clostridia; Peptostreptococcales; Peptostreptococcaceae
Description: bacterial LSU rRNA
Rfam family: Bacterial large subunit ribosomal RNA
Source: RNAcentral
AUGUAAGGGAGCUGACGCCUGCCCGGUGCUGGAAGGUUAAGGAGAUCUGUUAGAGGAAUCGAAGCAGUGAACUUAAGCCUCAGUAAACGGCGGCCGUAAUUAUAACGGUCCUAAGUUAGCGAAAUUACUUGUCGGGUAAGUUCCGACCCGCACGAAAGGCGGAACGAUUUGGGCACUGUCUCAACAACAGACUCGGUGAAAUUGUAAUUCCGGUGAAGAUGCCGGAUACCUGCGACAGGACGGAAAGACCCCAUGGAGCUUUACUGUAGCUUGACAUUGGGUCUUGGUACUACAUGUACAGGAUAGGUGGGAGGCUUUGAAACCAGGACGCCAGUUUUGGCGGAGCCAUCCUUGGGAUACCACCCUUGUAGUACUCGGAGUCUAACCCUCUGUCUCUUUUACGGAUC